CGGAUCGCAGGCUGCAACCCGCCUGCGUGAAGUUGGAAUUGCUAGUAAUCGCGGAUCAGCAUGCCGCGGUGAAUACGUUCCCGGGCCUUGUACACACCGCCCGUCACACCAUGGGAGCCGGUAAUACCCGAAGUCAGUAGUCCAACCACGUGAGGACGCUGCCGAAGGUAGGAUUGGCGACUGGGGUGAAGUCGUAACAAGGUAUC
This 206-nucleotide ribosomal RNA is filed under the name uncultured bacterium. RNAcentral's name for it is "partial 16S ribosomal RNA". It matches the Rfam family "Bacterial small subunit ribosomal RNA", at positions 1294 to 1500 of the family's 1533-position model. The record is from RNAcentral.